Molecule: long non-coding RNA, 539 nt
Organism: Juglans regia (Persian walnut)
Lineage: Eukaryota; Viridiplantae; Streptophyta; Magnoliopsida; Fagales; Juglandaceae
Exons: 2
Source: RefSeq, a predicted model, not a curated record
ACUGUCACUACUGAUGAUUCGAAUUCUUCUGCUCGCAUGCAGCAGUCUUGGAACUCUGCUAUAAAAGAGCAUGUUUGGAAGAAGACAUUAAUCGAGACCACCGAGUUAGAUCGAUAAAAACUUUCAUUUUCCAGUACUACAUCUCGUUUGUUUUAGACAGAUCUUGAGAUCAGAAAAAUGGCAUCAGUGAAGGCUGAAAAAACAGUGAGCACUCAAUCAUCUGGGCAGGUGAAGAAGGAGCCUGCAGCCAAGCCCAGUGAUAAUGCAACCAAAGCUCCAGCAUCCAAGUCCGGUGCAAAGAAAGCCGCACCAAAGGCGCCUCCGGAACCAAAGAAGAAGGGAAAAGGAGGCAAAUCAACAAAGCACUAACCAAACAGCCUGUGUGAUGUCUGAGUACAAAAAGCAGCUACAAGAAGAUCAGAGUUUACAUUUCUCUAAUACCCUUAUGGUUUAGUUAAAUUGUGUACUACGAAAUUAAUAUCCAUGUAAGUCUUAGCUAGGCUAAGCUUAUUUCAAUAACAACGAUGAUCUUCUAAGUA